UGUCUAUCAGCUAUCAACUGCACCUAACAAGUAAACCAAACACCCCCUAAGACUGUUGAAGCAUGAUCUUCCAAACAGAAAGACACAACACCAUGACCAGCAUAUUUACAGCAUGCAAGAGGAUAUAAAAAAAAACAGAUAUGUAUGCAUGAACUUGCUAUGCAUGUCAACAACUAACAUGCAACAUAUGUAAAAGUGCAUAGAGUAGACCUGCAGCCCUGCAAAAAAUCCACAGAAACACAAAGGGGUUUGCUUUUCCAUGUAUAACACAAACAAGAUUCUUAUAACUCAGAAUCUACUAGUGCCUUGUGAGAGUAGGACUUUUGAGAUCAAGUAUGGAGACACAUAACACUUUUCUAUGUCGCCUCUAAUCUCUAAGUAAUGACACUCUGGCAUUUAAUUGAGGCGUUCCUUUCUUCUGGGUCCCCAAACGCACUUCACCUUGUCACUAGGGCUCUCAGUGUGAUGGGAUUAAUUAUUUUCUGGUAUUGUUUAUUUUAUCAUAAAAAGAGUAUCAUGCUUUUCUAAAUAAUUAAUGUCAGUUCAAUAACUAUUAAAUGAACUUCUCAACAAAUUUCACAUUUUAAAUAAAAAGGACAUAAUAUAUGACAUAAAAUGGACUAGAUAGAAUAGCCGAGGACAACAAGGAAAUCAAGAAAAAUGAAGUUUAAGCAAUUAAGAAACCAAGAAUUUUUUGCCUAGAUUUUUUGCAAGGCUUAUGAAUGAAAGUGGGUAAAGCUUGUGAAACCGAUGGAAUACGAAUUGAAGUGUGAAAGUGUUUGGAAGAUAUGAGAGUGUCAUGGUUAAUUAAAUUGUUUAAUA
This 822-nucleotide unclassified non-coding RNA is filed under the name Hevea brasiliensis (rubber tree). The record is from RNAcentral. Lineage: Eukaryota; Viridiplantae; Streptophyta; Magnoliopsida; Malpighiales; Euphorbiaceae.